UCUGGUUGAUCCUGCCAGACCCGACUGCUAUCCGGGUGAGACUAAGCCAUGCAAGUCAUAUGGGUUGCUAACUAUACCAUGGCAAACUGCUCAGUAACAAGUGAUUAACUUACCCUUUGGUGGGGCAUACCCUCGGGAAACUGAGGCUAAUUCCCCAUAGUUGAAUAUGCCUGGAAUGGUUUUUCAUCGAAAGAAUAUAACAAAUGCGUUAUAUUUGCCGAAGGAUAGGAUCGCUCCCGAUUAUGGUUGUUGGCGAGAUAAUGGCUCACCAAGCCUAUGAUCGGUAAGGGCCGUGAGAGCGGAAGCCCUGAGAUGGGAACUGAGACAAUGUCCCAGGCCUUACGAGGCGCAGCAGGCGCGAAACCUUUACAAUGCACGAAAGUGUGAUAAGGAUACCCGGAGUGCUAAAAGCACAACUUUUAGCUGUUAUAGUGUGUAGAUAACACUAUGAGAAAGGAGAGGGCAAGGCUGGUGCCAGCCGCCGCGGUAAAACCAGCUCUUCAAGUGGUCGGGACAAUUAUUGAGCUUAAAGUGUCCGUAGCCGGUUUGGUAAGUCCCUGGUUAAAUCUGGUAGCUUAACUAUCAGUAGGCUAGGGAAACUGCCUCGCUAGAGGGCGGGAAAGGUCUGAGGUACUCCAGGGGUAGCGGUGAAAUGCGAUAAUCCUUGGGGGACCACCAGUGGCGAAGGCGUCAGACUGGAACGCGCCUGACGGUGGGGGACGAAAGCCAGGGGAGCGAACGGGAUUAGAUACCCCGGUAGUCCUGGCUGUAAACGAUGCAUGUUAGGUGUUGGUAGGGCUAUGAGCUGUAUCAGUGCCGUAGAGAAAUCGUUAAACGUGCCGCUUGGGAAAUACGCUCGCAAGAGUGAAACUUAAAGGAAUUGGCGGGGGAGCACCACACGGGGUGAAGCCUGCGGUUCAAUUGGACCCAACGCCGGGAAACUUACCGGGGGCGACAGCAGAAUGAAGGUCAGGCUGACGACCUUACCAGACAAGCUGAGCGGAGGUGCAUGGCCGUCGCCAGUUCGUGCCGUGAGGUAUCCUGUUAAGUCAGGCAACGAACGAGACCCACACAUUUAGUUGCUAUCAAGAGCCUACGGGUUCGUUGGGAACGCUAAAUGGACUGCCAUCUUACAGGUGGAGGAAGGGGUGGGCCACGGCAGGUCAGUAUGCCCCUAAUCCCCCGGGCCACACGCGGGCUGCAAUGGUAUGGACAAUGGGCUGCGACUCUGAAAAGAGAAGCCAAUCUCGAAACCAUAUCUCAGUUGGGAUUGUCGGCUGUAACCCGCCGACAUGAACGUGGAAUCCCUAGUAAUCGUGCGUCAUCAUCACACGGUGAAUACGUCUCUGCUCCUUGCACACACCGCCCGUCGCUCCAUCCGAGUGUAGUAUGCUUGAAAGAUGGUCCUUUGGGUCAUUUUGAGAGCGUACUAUGCAAGGAGGGAGAAGUCGUAACAAGGUA
RNAcentral lists this ribosomal RNA (1461 nucleotides) under metagenome. Its description in RNAcentral is "bacterial SSU rRNA". It matches the Rfam family "Archaeal small subunit ribosomal RNA". The record is from RNAcentral.